Molecule: long non-coding RNA, 269 nt
Filed under: Homo sapiens (human)
Lineage: Eukaryota; Metazoa; Chordata; Mammalia; Primates; Hominidae
Description: non-protein coding lnc-OR4F15-5:4
Source: RNAcentral
ACUCACUCCUUCCCGCCGCCUUAUGAAGAAGAUGCCUGCUCCUCUUUGCCUUCUACCGUGUUUAUAAGUUUCCUGAGGCCUCUCCAGCCAUGCAGAACUACAUGGCUGUUGUGGCCUGAUGCUGCAGUGUUUAUCUUGAAGUCUAAAGAAGCAAUGUGUUCCUCCAGUGUAACUUGAUUCUGUACUCCAGGCAUUUCUUGAUGUAUCUGAAUUGUUCAAUGUAAUCAGAAAACUUCUCAUGUUUUUACUAAGAGCCAUGUAUUCCCCUG